AAUUUUUAGUCGGGGUGCUUCUUAAGAAGCUGAGAUUAAACCCGUGAACCUGAUACAGUUAGUACUGACGUAGGAAACUAAUAUGCUUAUUUU
RNAcentral lists this non-coding RNA (93 nucleotides) under Actinobacillus pleuropneumoniae. RNAcentral's name for it is "TPP sequence". It matches the Rfam family "TPP riboswitch aptamer (THI element)". Rfam says of the family: Vitamin B(1) in its active form thiamin pyrophosphate (TPP) is an essential coenzyme that is synthesised by coupling of pyrimidine and thiazole moieties in bacteria. RNAcentral also lists the same sequence under 2 other names. The record is from RNAcentral. Lineage: Bacteria; Pseudomonadati; Pseudomonadota; Gammaproteobacteria; Pasteurellales; Pasteurellaceae.